AGGCUCCCAAUUCUUACCACAGACUGUGUUCUUACACUGACUGUAUAGAAAGAGGAGGUACAGUAGUAAAUGCACCCCAUAUACACCUCAACACAGGCCCUUUGCCUGGUCUGUAUUGUGAAUCGGGGGACAAAA
This is a small nucleolar RNA of Suncus etruscus (white-toothed pygmy shrew), 135 nucleotides long. RefSeq annotates it as small nucleolar RNA SNORA51. The transcript has a single exon. The record is from RefSeq and is a predicted model, not a curated record. Lineage: Eukaryota; Metazoa; Chordata; Mammalia; Eulipotyphla; Soricidae.